Molecule: ribosomal RNA, 2504 nt
Filed under: Clostridioides difficile
Lineage: Bacteria; Bacillati; Bacillota; Clostridia; Peptostreptococcales; Peptostreptococcaceae
Description: 23S ribosomal RNA
Rfam family: Bacterial large subunit ribosomal RNA
Source: RNAcentral
AGAUAUGAUCCAGAGUACCACGGGACACGUGAAACCCUGUGGGAAGCAGGAGGGACCACCCUCCAAGGCUAAAUACUACCUAGUGACCGAUAGCGUAUAGUACCGUGAGGGAAAGGUGAAAAGAACCCCGGGAGGGGAGUGAAAUAGAACCUGAAACCCUGCACUUACAAGCUGUGGAAGCACAUUUCUUGUGUGACCGCGUACUUUUUGUAGAACGGGCCAACGAGUUACGUUAAGUAGCAAGGUUAAGCACUUAAGGUGUGGAGCCGUAGCGAAAGCGAGUUUUAACUGAGCGUUCAGUUACUUGACGUAGACCCGAAACCGGGCGACCUACCCAUGAGCAGGAUGAAGCGAAAGUAAAAUUUCGUGGAGGUCCGAACCCACGAGCGUUGAAAAGCUCGGGGAUGACUUGUGGGUAGCGGUGAAAUUCCAAUCGAGCCCGGAGAUAGCUGGUUCUCCCCGAAAUAGCUUUAGGGCUAGCCUCAAGGUGAGAGAUACGGAGGUAGAGCACUGAAUGUCCUAGGGGGUAUUGCACCUACCGAAGACUAUCAAACUCCGAAUGCCGUCAUCUUAUACUUGGGAGUCAGACUGUGGGUGAUAAGAUUCAUAGUCGAAAGGGCAACAGCCCAGAUCGUCAGCUAAGGUCCCUAAAUGUAAGUUAAGUGGUAAAGGAUGUGGGAUUGCACAGACAACCAGGAUGUUGGCUUAGAAGCAGCCACUCAUUCAAAGAGUGCGUAAUAGCUCACUGGUCGAGUGAUCCUGCGCCGAAGAUUUCCGGGGCUAAAACUUACUACCGAAGCUACGGCAUCAGUAAUGAUGGGUAGGGGAGCUUCCCAUACGGGUUGAAGCAUGACCGUAAGGACAUGUGGACAGUAUGGGAGUGAGAAUGUUGGCAUGAGUAGCGAGAUGUGGGUGAGAAUCCCACAGGCCGUAAACCCAAGGUUUCCAGGGGAAGGUUCGUCCGCCCUGGGUUAGUCGGGACCUAAGCUGAGGCCGAAAGGCGUAGGUGAUGGACAACAGGUUGAUAUUCCUGUACUACCGAUAACCGUUUGAGAGAAGGGAUGACACAGUAGGAUAAGCUAAGCACACUGUUGGUUAUGUGUGCCCAAGCAUUGAGGCAGUCAAAGUAGGCAAAUCCGCUUUGAUAAUGCUGGGAUGUGAUGGGGAGCGAAAUUUAGUAGCGAAGUAGCUGAUUUCACACUGUCAAGAAAAGUCUCUAUCGAGGUUAAAGGUACCCGUACCGCAAACCGACACAGGUGGGUGAGGAGAGUAUCCUAAGGCCAGCGAGAGAACUGUUGUUAAGGAACUCGGCAAAAUGACCCCGUAACUUAGGGAUAAGGGGUGCCACCAUCAGGUGGCCGCAGAGAAUAGGCCCAAGCGACUGUUUACCAAAAACAUAGGUUUCUGCUAAGUCGCAAGACGAUGUAUAGGAGCUGACGCCUGCCCGGUGCUGGAAGGUUAAGGGGAUCUGUUAGAGCAAUCGAAGCAGUGAACUUAAGCCCCAGUAAACGGCGGCCGUAACUAUAACGGUCCUAAGGUAGCGAAAUUCCUUGUCGGGUAAGUUCCGACCCGCACGAAAGGCGUAACGAUUUGGGCACUGUCUCAACAACAGACUCGGUGAAAUUGUAAUUCCGGUGAAGAUGCCGGAUACCUGCGACAGGACGGAAAGACCCCAUGGAGCUUUACUGUAGCUUGACAUUGGGUCUUGGUACUACAUGUACAGGAUAGGUGGGAGGCUUUGAAACCAGGACGCCAGUUUUGGCGGAGCCAUCCUUGGGAUACCACCCUUGUAGUACUGGGACUCUAACCAUAGGCCAUGAAUCUGGUCUUGGGACACUGUCAGGUGGGCAGUUUGACUGGGGCGGUCGCCUCCCAAAAGGUAACGGAGGCGCUCAAAGGUUCUCUCAGUACGGUCGGAAAUCGUACGUAGAGUGUAAAGGCAAAAGAGAGCUUGAUUGCAAGACAUACAGGUCGAGCAAGGAUGAAAAUCGGACUUAGUGAUCCGGUGGUUCUGCGUGGAAGGGCCAUCGCUCAACGGAUAAAAGCUACCCUGGGGAUAACAGGCUUAUCUCCCCCAAGAGUCCACAUCGACGGGGAGGUUUGGCACCUCGAUGUCGGCUCAUCACAUCCUGGGGCUGUAGUAGGUCCCAAGGGUUGGGCUGUUCGCCCAUUAAAGUGGUACGCGAGCUGGGUUCAGAACGUCGUGAGACAGUUCGGUCCCUAUCCGUCGCAGGCGUAGGAAAUUUGAGAAGACCUGUCCUUAGUACGAGAGGACCGGGAUGGACGUACCUCUGGUGUACCAGUUGUUCUGCCAAGGGCAUGGCUGGGUAGCUAUGUACGGAAUGGAUAAGCGCUGAAAGCAUCUAAGCGCGAAGCCAACUUCAAGAUAAGAUUUCCCACCGCAAGGGUAAGACCCCAGAAAGACUAUCUGGUUGAUAGGUCGAAGGUGUAAGUGCAGCAAUGUAUUUAGCUUAUCGAUACUAAUAGGUCGAGGACUUGACCAA